GAUCUAGCUCAAUCGGUAGAGCAUGAGACUCUUAAUUCCAAGGUCAUGGGUUUGAGUCCCACGUUGGGCA
This is a non-coding RNA of Podarcis lilfordi (Lilford's wall lizard), 70 nucleotides long. The record is from the annotation of a GenBank genome assembly. NCBI's taxonomy places the organism in Eukaryota, Metazoa, Chordata, Lepidosauria, Squamata, Lacertidae.